Molecule: ribosomal RNA, 127 nt
Filed under: uncultured bacterium
Lineage: Bacteria
Description: partial 16S ribosomal RNA
Source: RNAcentral
CCGAUGCUUAUUCUUCAGGUACACGUCAUUUUGUUCCUCCCUGAAAAAAGAGGUUUACAACCCAUAGGCAGUCGUCCCUCACGCGAGAUUGCUCCGUCAGGCUUUCGCCCAUUGCGGAAAAUUCCCC